UAUAAAUCACAGCCAGCAUUGUUGGAGUAUUCCCAGCCUUGUCAGCCUCUCUGGCUAACGCAGGUCGUUUCUCCAUAAUUUCUUUAGCAACAUCUGGAAACAAAUCAAAACAUGAACGAUGGUUAAUGAUUUGUAAUGGUUACAUAUACAAUACUAUUAGAUCGUGGUCAACUACACUAGCUUUGGCUGCAGCAUGCAGAGCAUUGCGGCUAUUCUUUC
This is a long non-coding RNA of Hordeum vulgare subsp. vulgare (domesticated barley), 219 nucleotides long. RefSeq lists it as uncharacterized. Lineage: Eukaryota; Viridiplantae; Streptophyta; Magnoliopsida; Poales; Poaceae. The record is from RefSeq and is a predicted model, not a curated record. The transcript is spliced from 2 exons.